GUAAAUACCAUUCCUAUUCUCCAUCAAACGCCAGAGUCCGAUCACGAUUACACGUGUUCACUUCUUAACAGAACUCACACAUUCAAUCAGAUUAUUUUAUCACACCAAGAUUUCCCUUCUCCCUAUAUAAGGCACUUCAAAAACCCUAAUUCGCUUACACACAGGGACUGGGAGGCUUGCAGCUACGAGAGCAGAAGCGUUUCUCUACCCUCACAGCACCGGGCCGUCGUAGCUAGCUGCUCCUUCGAAAAUGAAGUUCAAUAUUGCAAAUCCUACCACUGGGUGCCAGAAAAAGCUCGAGAUAGAUGAUGACCAGAAACUGUAUUGAUCUCUUUCUUUUAUUCAUUAUUAUUUUUAGCUUUUAGUUUAAGUUUGCAUCUAUUAUCUGUUAUUGUAGAUGGUGAAAUUUUGUACUGGAGAAUAGUUAUGCUAUCAAGAAAUUUUAUAAAUUAUGUAUCUGAAAAAGGAAAGGAAUUUAAAUUUGUUGGGUAUGGAUAUCGUAUCAGAUUUGGAUUCUGGAAAACAGCUAGCUUCCUUUAAUUCAGCCUAAGCGCUCACAUUGGUUAGUUUAGUUACUUUUGACAACUGGAUGUGGUAGAGUUGUAUGAAUGGGGUUGCUGGUGUAUGAAUGGGGUUGCUGGUGUUUGAAUUUUGCAAUGCCAUCUGAUUAUUGUAGUCUUAGCAUGUGUACUUGAUUAUUAAAACCUAUUCUGUAGUAUAUGGUGCUUCUUUUAUUAAUUAUAAAGUUCAGUCGUAAUUCCCUUUAUGUUGCUUUGUGCACCUACGAGAAACAAAAUUGAAAGAACAUAAUCAAUUUUGAAUUGUACCCGUUUGUCCAUUAGUAAGAAUUUACUGUUUGUAACGUGUCCAAUAUGUUUUUUAACCCGAAAGAAUAUGAGAGAUGACUCCCUCCUUUUGUUGCUUAGGUUAUAAGGUUAAUUUGUCCUAGCUUAGUACUAAAAGGCAUUUAAGAGCAAUAAACGAGGAGGUUUUCAAGCAUUUCAAUUCUCUUUCUAUGCUUAAAAAAGGGAAGAAUGAACAUGAUACUUCUCUGAUAGUGUAGAUGAAUUCUUCCUUCAAGCGCAUCAAUGGUUUAUUUUGUAUUCUUAACUUGUUAAUCUUACCAAAACCAAACUAUAACAAAGUGGCUCUAACUGCUGUGGCUCUAACUGCUGUGGCAUGUUUUUUGAGUGAUUUCAUGGUAUGCUGAAAAACCUUGCUAUUCAUAAAUGUUAGCAUGUUACUCAUGUCAAAGGUUUCUUGCUACAGCCGUGUGUUUUUUGACAAAAGGAUCUCACAAGAAGUCAGUGGGGAUGCCCUGGGUGAGGAGUUCAAGGGUUAUGUAUUUAAGAUUAUGGGAGGUUGUGACAAGCAGGGUUUCCCAAUGAAACAAGGAGUUCUAACUCCUGGCCGUGUUCGACUUUUGCUUCAUAGAGGGACCCCUUGCUUCCGUGGAUAUGGCAGGCGAAAUGGAGAACGUAGAAGGAAGUCUGUUCGUGGAUGCAUUGUUAGCCCAGAUCUAUCAGUCUUGAACUUGGUUAUUGUCAAGAAAGGUGAGAAUGAUCUGCCUGGACUGACAGACAUUGAGAAGCCUAGAAUGAGAGGUCCUAAGAGGGCAUCAAAGAUCCGGAAGCUGUUCAACCUCUCCAAAGAGGAUGAUGUCCGGAAGUACGUUAACACUUACCGCCGAACAUUUACAACCAAAUCUGGUUAGCAGCUGUAUCAUUAUUUUCUUUUUAUUAUAUUAUUUAAAUUUAAUAUGUUCCUCAGAGAACAAAGUACUUUCUUAAUUGAAUGGGUGAUAAUUUGGAUUACUUCAGGAAAAAAUUUUUAAGUGCAUUUGAUAAGAUGGUGUUUUCUGACUUGGUAGGUAAGAAGGUUAGCAAAGCUCCCAAAAUUCAGAGGCUUGUAACUCCCUUGACUUUGCAAAGGAAGCGUGCUAGAAUAGCGGACAAGAAGAAGAGAAUUGCAAAGGCCAAGGCUGAGGCAGCCGAGUAUCAGAAGCUCCUUGCCACCAGGUUGAAGGAGCAGCGUGAACGCCGCAGUGAGAGCUUGGCAAAGAAGAGAUCUAGACUGUCUGCUGCGUCAAAGCCCUCUGUUGUGGCAUAGAAUGUUUCACGUUGGUCUAUGUCUAUGAGCGAAGUCAUUUAUUAAAUAGGUUGAGGUAAUUUUGAUUGUUCUUUGGAUUUUGAAAGUUAAGUUAAAAUGUUUCCUGCAUUUAUAACAAUUUCAAACAUCUGAAAUUUUUGCUUUCAUUUUAAUGUGUUGUGGGAUUGUUAACCAUUUCAUUAAGCUCUCUUGUUCUAUUGUUUUGAAUCCUGGAUUUAUGGUAGAUGACGUUUUAUACAUGUUGAAGGAUUAAUUUGCUGCACAGUCGAUGUUCUCUUAUUCUUUUGUAUUUUAAACCCUUCAGGAUCGAGC
This 2421-nucleotide unclassified non-coding RNA is filed under the name Hevea brasiliensis (rubber tree). The record is from RNAcentral. Lineage: Eukaryota; Viridiplantae; Streptophyta; Magnoliopsida; Malpighiales; Euphorbiaceae.